ACCUCUUCAACUUCCUCGCAACCCUAGGAAACCCUAGCGCCGUUCAAUUCUUCCCCAAUUCCAAUGUCAGAUCCAUACGAACGUGCAAAAGGAAGUAGAUUAUCCUUCAAAGGAGGAACCCUAGCAACUAGGCAAAAAUCCAUUGACAAAAAGCGAAAGAAAAAGAAGAACAAAAUCGAAAACCCUAACCCCAACAUCGAAGAAGAAACCCUAGUUGAAGGAGACAAAAAUGAAACCGUUGAAGGGUCUGAGUCGUCGGAGUAUACUAUUGACGCUGCGAAGAAAAUGAAGUACGAUCAACUUUUUCCGGUUGAGGCGAAGAAAUUCGGGUACGAACCUAAAAGUAAGGCCAAAUCAAUUGAAGAAGCGUUAGAUGACCGUGUCAAGAAGAAAGCUGAUCGUUACUGUAAAUAGUGUAAUUAUUCAAUGACAUCCGAGGUGUUUUGAAUAUGUUUACCCAUCUUCCAUGAAUUUCCCAUGGCUUUGUUUGGAUUGCUGGAAUCAGAUGGAGUGGAGGAGGAAUAGGAUGGAAUGAAAUGAUAUUCUAUUGUUGGGAUAAUUUAAAAUCUGAUGAACAUUUUGGAAUUGAGUGGUAUGGAUAUCAUUUCAUUCAAUAAUUUACCACAAUACUCCUUCCCUGCUCCACUCAUCUUAUGAAGCAUUUCUGGUGGAAUGAACAACUUGCUUUGUAUGUGUAUUCUCAAUUCAAUUGUGUUUUAAUAAAAUCUGAUGAAGCAUUUUGUGUGGAAUGAACAGCUUGCUUUGUUUCGCACUGCUUCACGCAUCUUAUGAUAUCCAAACUAGUCUAAAUGGGUUUAAUAUGACUCUACUUCUGGUUUUCUUGUCACAACCAUGCACGAUAUUGAUUGAUCUGAUAUGAUACUUAUAAAUUUAUUGAUCAUUCCCGGCAAAAGAAGUUUGAGUAAGGAAGAUAACUGCCGCUCACCACUAAAACCAGAUGACCCAAGCAACCAUCCGGGCAAAAGAAGUUUGAGCAUGGCAUGUUGAGUGGCUGGUUAAUCUUCCAGUAUUGUUUUACCUGUAAACGUAUGUUGGCUGUUGAUUUGGAUUUAUUGGGUUAUAAUUAUAUGUUUUAGUCAAAUGAUUCAUGGUUAUGAAUUCAAACGUCUAACCUCAUAAUCUCUGAAUGACAUAACAUCUCACAUGCUGUAGCUUGAUACAUAAUUUGUGAAAGAGGUUUUACCAUAUUCAUACA
Molecule: RNA transcript, 1216 nt
Organism: Lathyrus oleraceus (garden pea)
Lineage: Eukaryota; Viridiplantae; Streptophyta; Magnoliopsida; Fabales; Fabaceae
Exons: 3
Source: RefSeq, a predicted model, not a curated record